UACGUAGGGUGCAGGCGUUAAUCGGAAUUACUGGGCGUAAAGCGUGCGCAGGCGGUCUUUUAAGUCAGAUGUGAAAUCCCCGGGCUUAACCUGGGACUGCGUUUGAAACUGGAAGGCUUGAGUGUGGCAGAGGGGGGUGGAAUUCCACGUGUAGCAGUGAAAUGCGUAGAUAUGUGGAGGAACACCGAUGGCGAAGGCAGCCCCCUGGGCUAACACUGACGCUCAUGCACGAAAGCGUGGGGAGCAAACAGG
Molecule: ribosomal RNA, 252 nt
Filed under: uncultured bacterium
Lineage: Bacteria
Description: partial 16S ribosomal RNA
Rfam family: Bacterial small subunit ribosomal RNA
Source: RNAcentral